UAUUUUCACAAAUUUCCUCAGAGAGAGCAAAAACCUCCAUGCCAUUCUCGAAGCCGAUUGUUCACAGCUAAAACCGAAUUGCAAGCUCAAGAAAACAGAUUCACCUUCAAAGCUUAUACGACUACAAUUCUGCAAAGAACAACCAUGGAUUUGUUUCGAACGUCAAUUCUGCAAAUUGUGUCGAUUUGGUCGAAUGCGUUCUGGUGAUGCAUAAUGUUGACUCUGGUACGCAAUCGCACCUCCUGGUGCCUAUUCGGCUGUGCAGACCUCUGAGCUGUGUGGCAAUUUCCCAGGAUGGCCGCUUCGUGGCUGCUGGAGAGGUCCUCGAAUAUAUAUUAAGAGAUUUGUCUACGGGAUGAUGGCUUCACCACUAUGCAUAUAAAUUUAUAAAAAUCAUCAAAAGCCUAGAUCAUGGGCUUUCUGAUCUGUAGUUUGCAAUGGUGAAAGGUCAGAUGACUCGAUUACUAUAUUUUCCUCACCCCAUGUUCUAUAUUGCUUUUGCAUUCAGUGCCUCAACCUACAGUAUUUAUGUGGGAUUUAGAUGGCAUAGUCUUUGCAUCAGAACUUGAAGGUCAUCUGUACGGUAUUGCUUGCCUUGCUUUUUCCCCUGAUGCUAGUUUUUUUCUUCUUUGGUUUCGGUUCUGCUGCUACUUGUUCACUUUUCCUUUUUCCAGCUUAAAUAAUUCGCUAUUCUUUAUUUAUACGAGGGGAAUAUAUAUUUGGCGGACUACAGCGUUGCUAGCAAAGCUCAAACCAUGUUCAUCUUAGACGACCAUCUCAUCUGUUUCCUUCUCAUCAGAUUCAAAACCUCUUUGAACUGCUGGGAAGAAGCACAUGAAGUUCUGGACAAUCACAUCUCCUAGGACCCAAUUUAAGUUUGGGACAAGUUCACUGUCUUUGCAUGGAAAACCUGUUAAUCUUGUUGGAUGCAUGUUUGAACUCACAUUUGAAUUACUUCUACGCCUUAGGACAGUAACUAUUAUUCUGGAAUAAAUACGCUCGAAUUCUUCAUGAAAAAAGUUUUAUCUAUGGUCUUUCGGGUUUCCCUCUGCUUUUGUGGAAAUUUUCGAUGACUAUGGUUUAAGCAAAAUCUAGCAAGCACGAACAGAAAUAUUCAACAUGGAUGCGUUGAUAUAUAAUUGUGGACCCCUUGGCUCAUGCAGUAGAUAGUAAGCGUAUAAUACACACACAUACAUUUAGAUAGAGUGGGAGAGAAAUGUAAGUUUGCAUGAUGUUAUAUCUGUUAUUUUUUUAAUAUUUUUUUCCAAAGUUCUACGUGGAGAAUAAGUUGAUAAAUAUGCGUCAUUCUCACGUCUUUAUCUGAUUUCGUGAUCAGAGCAUGUAUGUUGCAUGCAUCCAUACACAUUUUAAUUUUUAUUCAAAAUUCAAUUUAAUGAGAGCUUGAUCUGUUUUUUGUUUUCUUUAUUAAAAUUCAAUUAAAGUGAACCGCCCUAAUUUUAAAGCAGUGACCAAAAAACAAUCCAUUUAGAGUCAAUGUUGGAAGAAGAUAAUUUGCGCAAUUCAUGUUCCUUGUCCGAUGUAGAGGUUGUGCAUGGACCCCACUCUCAUUCUGUAAAGUUUUUCAAGCAGAAAUCAUGAGUGGUGGUUUGUUGUAGUUUAUGGUUUCAUUAAGUUUAGGGAGACAGGGGAAGAGUUAUGGAAGGUGUUGGAUGGUCUAUUCGGUCUUUGUGGGUCUUGUUAGUUCUUUGGGUAUCAACAUUUUCCCGGAUCGCCUAAUUCACAUCAAUACUUCAUGCAUUGAACAUGGACAUUCUAUCCAACAUUUGUGCAUAAUAUACUUGUCCUUGAACAUGGGAUACAGCCUUUCAGAAGUAAUAAUAUCAUAUUACUAGAGUAAUAUUUUCAUAGUUUCUUUUAUUAAGUCAUAUUCAAUUCAUAGGUGUACCAAACAGGAAGUUUCUUUUAAUGAUUCAAGAUGAUCAUCUCACGAUCUAGAACCAAACUUGAUCUCUGUAUGAUUGCAUGUCCAACUUAAUCACUUCGAGUUAGCAAGGUUUUGUGGUUUAUUGGUACCCUGCAUAAGUAUAUAAUCUUAUCUACCUUUUGCUCUGUCCAAUUUUUCUCUUUCUGUGAUAUGAACAGAAAAGUUGCUGUUCUUUGAUUGUUGAUGAUCAAGAAAAUGCACCUCUACCUCCAGAAUUUCAAUUUUUUUCUGACCACGUCCUUGGAUCUGUUAAGUCCUGCACCAGCAGCUUGUCGGGAAACUCUUCUGACAAUAGAAAUACUAAUGGUUCUCAUGUGUCUCAAGAAACUUUUAGGUAAUGUCUUCGAUGAUCUUCGAGCCAUUUUCUCUUUUAAAUGAAUCCUUUCGUUACUUUCCAUGCUUACAGUGCAUGUCUGCCUCCAGUUGCCAUCCUGAAACCGGGUUGCUUUUAUACAUGGGCCUGAGCUUGGUUUAUCUUAGGGUGCAAUAUCGGGGUAAUAGGACUAGUUGCCCACCCUAAACCAAGAUCGAUCCUUUUGACUCAGGAGUUGCAUUCUAGGCAAUAAGUUUCUUCCAUGCCAGAGAUUCCUGGAUGAUGUUAAUAGAACGCAAUUGUGUUUUUCGAAAUAGAAAAAAUACGCUAAUAUUAGCAUGCGGGAUAAUUGAUGUGUUACUUACUCGAUCAACCUUUUCUGGAAACUAAGAUGUUAUUUUUCUUUUAAUGUGGAUGUUUUCUAGAAGGAAAAACUUCCAGUCGAUAGAAAGCAGCCAGAAUGAAAGAUUAUAGAAGGGAGACGUAUGGUGUAUGUCAUUUCUGUUAAAAUGCUUCUGAGCUAUUUGUGAUAAAUAGAAUUGUCCGCAGACACCAUUACGUCUCUAGUUCAACGUUUUGCAUGAUAAGAACCGCUACACACUGUCAAAUUUGAAUGCGUUUUCUCAUAUAUUGAUCUUUUGUUUGGUUUGGAUUGCGAGCUAAGGCUUGUGGUAAAAGCAGACUAAAGGUUCCAAUUUCAAUCAGCCGACAGUAGGACUGCAUACACAUAAUUGCACUUGUAUGCAGUUAACUAUUAUGACGAGUCAUUGCAGUGAAAAUUGUUGAUCUUUUUUCCCGAUGAGGAAUGUGCUUUACAGGACAAGAUGCAGCAAAACUACCAGUUUAAUGGAUGCUCUUCUGGUCAAGCUAGCUAUGAUAUAGAUAUUGGAGGAGAUUUGACUUCCAGUAAGAUUUCCAUUUUUUAUAAUUGUGGACCUAGAGCAAGCAUGAAUUUCACACAAGAAUGAAUGAGGUUCAUUAUGGGAAAACGGAAGAGCUGCUUUUCAGCAAUGUGAAAAGUCAAAAGCAAGCCACUGGAGAUGGUAUCGGUGCCCCAUUAAGUCUGAAAAUGGUGAUCUAUUCAAGCUACAUUCGGGCAGUUUGUCAAU
Molecule: long non-coding RNA, 3367 nt
Organism: Cucurbita maxima (winter squash)
Lineage: Eukaryota; Viridiplantae; Streptophyta; Magnoliopsida; Cucurbitales; Cucurbitaceae
Exons: 3
Source: RefSeq, a predicted model, not a curated record